This 444-nucleotide ribosomal RNA is filed under the name uncultured bacterium. Its description in RNAcentral is "partial 16S ribosomal RNA". It matches the Rfam family "Bacterial small subunit ribosomal RNA", at positions 354 to 796 of the family's 1533-position model. The record is from RNAcentral.
GUAGGGAAUAUUGUGCAAUGGUCGGAAGACUGACCCAGCCAUGUCGCGUGCAGGAAGACGGCCCUCUGGGUUGUAAACUGCUUUUAUCUGGGAAGAAAAAGGCCAUGUGUGGCAAAUUGCCGGUACCAGAUGAAUAAGCACCGGCUAACUCCGUGCCAGCAGCCGCGGUAAUACGGAGGGUGCGAGCGUUGUCCGGAUUUAUUGGGUUUAAAGGGUGCGUAGGCGGCUGAUUAAGUCAGCGGUGAAAGACUUCGGCUUAACCGGAGCAGUGCCGUUGAUACUGGUUGGCUUGAGUGUCGGAGGGGUACAUGGAAUUGAUGGUGUAGCGGUGAAAUGCAUAGAUACCAUCAGGAACACCGAUAGCGAAGGCAUUGUACUGGCCGACAACUGACGCUGAUGCACGAAAGUGUGGGGAUCGAACAGGAUUAGAUACCCGUGUAGUCC